Small nucleolar RNA from Onychomys torridus (southern grasshopper mouse), 106 nucleotides. RefSeq annotates it as small nucleolar RNA SNORA67. The record is from RefSeq and is a predicted model, not a curated record. The transcript has a single exon. Lineage: Eukaryota; Metazoa; Chordata; Mammalia; Rodentia; Cricetidae.
GUCCAAGGCGAUUCCCUCUCCAAGGGGCUGACUAGUGUCCUUUUCAGGAAUAUAGCAGGAACAAGGGAUGCUUGUUGCCUUUGCCUGUCUUUGGCUGCCUACAUGU